AGUAAAAGUCGUAACAAGGUCUCCGUUGGUGAACCAGCGGAGGGAUCAUUACCGAGUUUACAACUCCCAAACCCCUGUGAACAUACCACUUGUUGCCUCGGCGGAUCAGCCCGCUCCCGGUAAAACGGGACGGCCCGCCAGAGGACCCCUAAACUCUGUUUCUAUAUGUAACUUCUGAGUAAAACCAUAAAUAAAUCAAAACUUUCAACAACGGAUCUCUUGGUUCUGGCAUCGAUGAAGAACGCAGCAAAAUGCGAUAAGUAAUGUGAAUUGCAGAAUUCAGUGAAUCAUCGAAUCUUUGAACGCACAUUGCGCCCGCCAGUAUUCUGGCGGGCAUGCCUGUUCGAGCGUCAUUUCAACCCUCAAGCACAGCUUGGUGUUGGGACUCGCGUUAAUUCGCGUUCCUCAAAUUGAUUGGCGGUCACGUCGAGCUUCCAUAGCGUAGUAGUAAAACCCUCGUUACUGGUAAUCGUCGCGGCCACGCCGUUAAACCCCAACUUCUGAAUGUUGACCUCGGAUCAGGUAGGAAUACCCGCUGAACUUAAGCAUAU
This 551-nucleotide ribosomal RNA is filed under the name Fusarium sp. G5311. RNAcentral's name for it is "eukaryotic LSU rRNA". The stretch from base 200 to 353 matches the Rfam family "5.8S ribosomal RNA". Lineage: Eukaryota; Fungi; Ascomycota; Sordariomycetes; Hypocreales; Nectriaceae. The record is from RNAcentral.